This 484-nucleotide ribosomal RNA is filed under the name uncultured bacterium. RNAcentral's name for it is "partial 16S ribosomal RNA". It matches the Rfam family "Bacterial small subunit ribosomal RNA", at positions 28 to 507 of the family's 1533-position model. The record is from RNAcentral.
AUUGAACGCUGGCGGCAUGCUUUACACAUGCAAGUCGAACGGCAGCGCGGGCUUCGGCCUGGCGGCGAGUGGCGAACGGGUGAGUAAUGCAUCGGAACGUGCCCAGUAGUGGGGGAUAGCCCGGCGAAAGCCGGAUUAAUACCGCACACGACCUGAGGGUGAAAGCGGGGGACCGAAAGGCCUCGCGCUAUUGGAGCGGCCGAUGUCGGAUUAGCUAGUUGGUGGGGUAAAGGCUUACCAAGGCGACGAUCCGUAGCUGGUCUGAGAGGACGACCAGCCACACUGGGACUGAGACACGGCCCAGACUCCUACGGGAGGCAGCAGUGGGGAAUUUUGGACAAUGGGGGCAACCCUGAUCCAGCCAUGCCGCGUGCGGGAAGAAGGCCUUCGGGUUGUAAACCGCUUUUGUUCGGGAAGAAAUCCUCUGGGCUAAUACCCCGGGGGGAUGACGGUACCGGAAGAAUAAGCACCGGCUAACUACGUG